CAUAAACGCUUUCAAAUGGGUUAGGUGUCACGCGCUCCCUCUCUCGCUCUCUCUUUUCACCCUUUUUUUUUUAAUCUUCAAAUCUUGAGCUCUCUCUCUCUAUCUGCUGUCUGAGCCCGAUUAAUAUCUCAGAGACAUUUCGAAGCACAUCGGCGAUUCAUCAAAGCUCUACUGUCUCGAAAUCGAAGUUCAUCUCAACGAUUCAGAUCGGUGAGCUCUAUUGUCUCUCUCUCUCUCUAAACCCUAAUUAUCUUAGAGAUUUAGAUCGGUCUCAGCGAAAUAGAUCGGCGAUUCAUCAGAGCCAUUUAGAAGUUCUCUCUCAAAAUCGAAAUCGAAGUUCAUCUCAGCGAUUUAGAUCGGUAAGCUCCACUGUCUUUCUGUCUCCCUCCCUCUCUCUCUAGAGACACAUCAGAUUUGGUCCACUCUCGAUCAACAAAUCCCGACGGCGGCUCUCCAGCGGUGGCCCUUUGUCUUCAUCAUCUGAAGAGUUUUGUUUUGCAACCCUAAAUCUUCAAAUCCCCUUCAUUGACAAAGAAAGAAAAGGGUUUUUUGUUUCAGACUUGGAAGCUGUAUGGGCAUAAAAGCAGUGUUCUUUUGAUGUUUUUAACAUGCAAAUGGAGCCACAAGUCUCCUUGGGUUGUGAACCAUGCCUCCAUCCUGAGAAAAUCCUAAUUAAGGAUGGUGAUUGUGGUGUAACUGUAUCCUUUCAAAACCAUGAUGUACAACAGCCAAGUAACAUUUUGUGCUUGUCAUUUCGAAGUUUCUAAUCAUUUGUCUCAAUUGAGGUGCUUUGUCGUUUUUGUUGUUGUAUUGAGAAUAUUGAUUGUACCUCUGGAAUGCAGUUUCCAGUGCAGUGAAAAAACAAACACUGCAAUGGGCUGCUUGGACACGUCAAGAGGAGGAAAGCCUCUUCACUGCAUUGCGGCAAGUUGGCAAGGCAUUUUUUGCUGACAUGGUUUUUGGUUUUUGGAAUUAUUUCUUACAAUAUAUCCUGACAUGACUAUAUGAUGUCUUUUAAUAGAAUUUCGACUUUGUCUUGAUGCCAAAAAUUCUAAAGCUACUAAUGCUGCAAUGCUUCAAUGGUAACCAGUAACUAUGCCCUCUACUUAAUGUCUAUUUUAUGUAUUAUGGAAACCGUGCAAAUUUCUCUUAUACUAGCAACAUGUAUGUGCACCUAUGUUCCUUUCUGAUUAUAUUUCUAAGGAGAUGUAGCGAUGUUGAAUGAACUUAUGUAGGGGUUGUUUUGUUGAACGAAGCCCUCAUCUAAUUAAGUGAGUAGGUUUCACCUUCAACUGCCUAGGUGCGAUGUUCUUUAAGUAAAUAAAAGAUUGGUGCAAUUAUUUUAAUAGCAUAACUUAUAAAUUACAUUUAGAAGAUUGCUGGACAUUGUGCACUAUCUACUAAAAUCAUAUACUUAGCCAGCUGAAUUAAGUUCAAGAUCAUUUGAUAUAAUAAAUGGUAAGGGCAUAAUUGUUAGAGGGACACACCUAGUCCCCAAAAGGCUUAAGGCUCGUGAUCUUCACUACACACACAGCUUCUCAAUACUCAUUGACUUCAUGGAUCGUCUUUGGCGUAGAGACUGAAAGGUCUUCUCUGGCUUCACUAUAGCAGAGGUUAUAUAUAUAUAUAUAUAUGUGCGUGUGUGUGUGUUCAGAGCUGUUUUUUCAUUUGUUUCCUUUAUGUGGAUCUUACUUACUGAAAUUCAAAGUUUGUUUCAGCAUUAUAGUCUAUUGAAUCGAUGAUGAAAUGUUGUGGGAGAGUUAUAUCAACUGUUAAGUUUGAUGCAUUACUGGUUUUUGUGUUAUACAUUGCAAAAAAGCGAGCUUUUAAAUUGCAGGCAAUGUGGGUAUUCAUGAAUCAUUGAUACCAUUGCAUUUUAUUGAAUAUACACUGAAAUACUAGAUUAAGUGUGUUAUGCUGCUGAUUGUGCAUUAUUGGGUUUGUGUUGUUUUAUGUGUAAGUUUAUGACCUUAAUGUUAUAUGAAAUGAUGACUUCUAGAUGUUUGUUGCCUUUGUUAGAUGUAAAAAAUAUGUUUGAUUGUUUUCCAUAUCAUUCAAAAUUUUAAUUAGGAUUAUAAAGAAUUAUGGAGCUUUUGGCAACAAAUGUUAUGUUUACUGCUUAGGCCCAUUGCCAUUGUAGGGACAGAGAGUAUGAACAAGUAGAGACCCUGUUUCUAUUGAGGGCUUUAUGCCUUUGGUGUAAUCCCAAUUACUGCUAUGCUAGUUAUGACUGCUAAAGUUUUUAUUGUGUUCUUAAUUUCUUAGACAUAGAAAAUAUAGACAUAACUAGCAGAAUAAACAGUGUAGUAAAAAUUCAAAGUCACAACACAACCAGUUGAAAAGUCCAAUGGUAUCAAAUUAACCUAGUGCCCUGUUUGAUUACAGAAAAAGUAAAGGAAACAAGAAAAAAAAAAUCAUUAUAUACACAGUGAUAGUUCGAACAUCCAUGAGGAUGAUAGUUCGACUGCAGUUUCGAUUUUCUUUUGCUCUUUUCUUGCGUUUUCUAGGUAACCAAACAGAAUUGAAUGAAAAAUAAAUAUCAAAAAAAAAAAAAAGAAAGAAAGAGAGGGGGAUGGAGGGUUUACCUGGUUUCCUGUUGCCAGUCUUUUGACCAGUUUUGGUGAGGACAUCGAACCUUAAAAUAUAUUUCAAUUGCUCUUUUAAAGCUUUUGUUGUUUGGUCUUGUUCUUAAUUUCUUGUUUCAUCUGAUUAUUCUAUACUUGCAUAUUUUAUUGUCAGAAAAUGUGAUUUUUAUGCAGUGCACUUAGCUGGAUUUUCUUUUUAUGUAGAAUGUAUGACUACCUCUGUUGUAAACAGGGUUCUGUUGUCUGGGUCCUUUCCUUUACUUCCAUAUCAUAAUCAUUUUGACAGGAUUUCCCCUUUUCAUUGCUUCAUACAUUUGUAACGGGUUUAGAUGACGUUUUUUUAACGGCGCUUUUUUAAACGCCACUUUUCUUAAUAUUUAACGACGUUUUAUAGGCAUGCACAAAAUAGCAGCCAAUCCCAUUUAUUUAUCUCAUUUGAGUGUUUUUGCUCUGAAUGCAAACCUAAAUUGAUUACAAGGUCAUAAACAUGGACCAAUGGAUGGGUUUCUAGCGGUUUUGCAAUGAGGUAAUCCAACAAUUAGUUGCUAAUCAUUAUUUUAGAAUUUAUAGUUAUCUUUUUUUUCAGUUGAUCCUCUAGUGUAAGUUGACUGGUUGAUGUGUGUGAUGCAUUUAAAAAUCCAUAAAGAUGUUGUAUAUUUGAUAUAACCUUUUUCUUUUUAAGUCAUGCAGACAUAUGCACAUUAUUUAGUAUACUUCAAUACGUUACUUUGUUUCGCACCACCUGAAGUUUUAUCUGUAGGUAUAUUUCCCUUGUAACUUGGCAACAGCUGUUUUUUUUCCCCUUUCUCUUUUGGGGUGUCAACUGGUUCAAAUUGUCUAGAGUAAAGUUUGUCGUUCUCUGAACUUGUUUUUCUACAAAGAAUUAUUUGUAGAAGGUACAUUACUAUUUGUUUAUGUGAUUCUGACCAAGCAUCUUUACAAUUGUAUUUACUUUUGGCCCAUUUGGAAGAGCUGUGGGAAAGUGAUUAUAACUUAUAGCCUAAGAGCUUAUAGCUUAUAACUGUGAACAUAAGCUGAUUUUUGACUUAUAAAUUAAGUUUCUCCUCCCCCACUCAAAGAAUAAGUUGAUUUUUGACUUACAAAAAGUUAUAAACUGUAUUGUUAAGCUGAACCAAAUAUAUCAAAAUAGCUUAAAUUAAGGUAAAAGCUGAAAUAAGGUGAAAAUAAGUCUUACCAAACAGGGUCUUUGUAUUAUACAUGAAUUACAGAGUAUAGUAUGGGAAAUAAAGUGAUGACAUUGGAUAUGCUUACAGGAAAGAGACCUACUGAAAACAUGUUUAAUGAUAAUCUGAGACCCACUGAAAACAUGCUACUGAAAACAAAGCCUCCAAAUUAGAUGUUUUUCUCCAAAUUCUACGAGUCCCUAAAUUUGGCAGUGAAACUACAUGUGGAAGAGUGGAAUCCAAGUUUUGAUCAAGUGCUCACCAUCUCAGUCCAAUUAGGUAUGUAGACUACUGAAGAAUAACAAUGAACUCUCUCAUCAAUUUGAAUUUAGCUCAUCCAAGCUUGAAAUUUAUGUUAUAGGCAGGAAUAGAUUUUUGAAACAUAAUCUAGGAAAGUUCAAGAGUCUCUUACUUUGGUGAUAUCUUGAGUUGGGGAUAAUUUUCCUGGUAGUAAUUUGCCAUCUCUUGUAUAGUUGGAUCAAUCAUUAUAGCUCAACACUUCUUUUUUCUGUUAAUGUCUUUGCUAAAACAUGAUUUAUGAAUAUGUUAUUUUGUGGUUAAUGGUGAUUGGAUAUUAAAUUGAAUGGGAAAGUGAAUUAACGUUG
Camellia sinensis is the source of this 4374-nucleotide non-coding RNA. Lineage: Eukaryota; Viridiplantae; Streptophyta; Magnoliopsida; Ericales; Theaceae. The record is from RefSeq and is a predicted model, not a curated record.